GAUGAACGCUGGCGGCGUGCCUAAUACAUGCAAGUCGAGCGAACAGACGAGGAGCUUGCUCCUCUGACGUUAGCGGCGGACGGGUGAGUAACACGUGGAUAACCUACCUAUAAGACUGGGAUAACUUCGGGAAACCGGAGCUAAUACCGGAUAAUAUAUUGAACCGCAUGGUUCAAUAGUGAAAGACGGUUUUGCUGUCACUUAUAGAUGGAUCCGCGCCGCAUGAGCUAGUUGGUAAGGGAACGGCUUACCAAGGCAACGAUGCGUAGCCGACCUGAGAGGGUGAUCGGCCACACUGGAACUGAGACACGGUCCAGACUCCUACGGGAGGCCGCAGUAGGGAAUCUUCCGCAAUGGGCGAAAGCUUGACGGAGCAACGCCGCGUGAGUGAUGAAGGUCUUCGGAUCGUAAAACUCUGUUAUUAGGGAAGAACAAAUGUGUAAGUAACUAUGCACGUCUUGACGGUACCUAAUCAGAAAGCCACGGCUAACUACGUG
This 497-nucleotide ribosomal RNA is filed under the name uncultured bacterium. RNAcentral's name for it is "partial 16S ribosomal RNA". It matches the Rfam family "Bacterial small subunit ribosomal RNA", at positions 28 to 507 of the family's 1533-position model. The record is from RNAcentral.